Molecule: RNA transcript, 1485 nt
Organism: Triticum dicoccoides
Lineage: Eukaryota; Viridiplantae; Streptophyta; Magnoliopsida; Poales; Poaceae
Gene name: chloroplast processing peptidase-like
Exons: 6
Source: RefSeq, a predicted model, not a curated record
AGAAGGGGAUGGCGAUGGCGCCGCCGCGUCUGCUGCGGGGCCUCAUCGCGCCGCUGUCGCCGGCCGACUGGCUGCCGUGCCACCAGCAGCUGCUGACCUCCGCCGCCCUCCUGCACCGCUGGUGGGUGGCGCGCCUCCGCUGCUCCGACGGAUUCAAGCUCUUCCUCGUCCUGCUCCUCGUCUCCACCGCCCUCGCCGUGAUCCGCUACGUCGCCUCCGCGUCCAUGGCGCCCACCCUCCGCCCCGGCGACCGCGCCGUCGCAGAGAAAGUGAGCUACAUGUUCCGGCGGCCGUCCGUGGGCGACAUUGUCUUCUUCAGGGUGCCCACCGCCCUGCAGAACUGCGGCAUAAAUAAAGAUGUCGUGUUUAUUAAGAGGGUUAUUGCCACCCCUGGAGAUUUCGUCGAGGUCCGGCAAGGCCAGCUUAUUGUUAACGGUGUUGCACAGAAUGAACACUACACCGCACCCCAUGCGUCGUCGUACACGAUGGAAGCCAUGGUCCACAGAUACUUGUAUGCCCAAACUACCAUGGCUCAUUAUUGCUAGACAAACAAAUGACCAUACAUACUACUACUGCAAGAGGAGGACCAAAAGUGGCAUGGCUGCUCUGUGUUGUUGACUUCCUGAGUACCCCCAUUGUUCUUUCGAAAUGAAAUGACGGGUCUCAGAUGGUGGAUGAUCUCUCCCUCCAAUCCUAUUCUCGCUCUCUGCUCAAUUCUAUGCCCGGAUCCAUCUGGUACUAAGACUGUGCAUCGUCCUGCAGCGCCUCCCUGAAGGCCAUGUAUUCGUCAUGGGUGAUAACCGUAAUAACAGCUGUGAUUCUCGUGCCUGACUAUCUUUGAUUGAAAACUUGCAACUGCUGCGAAAUUCUCGUGCUAGUCAUCUGAAGUCAUUACAGAUUGUAAUGAAUUUUUUCCCCAAAGGUUUAUUUAUUUAUAGCUGUACUGUCAAGGCGUCGACUGUAAAUAAGAGGUGAGAUUUAUGUGUUCUCAGUUUCGUGUAAUAACUUCAGAGUAGGAAUGCACAUAUGUUGCUAGAAUGCGCUCUAAAAGGAUUAGCUCGGUUUCAGCUGUUUUAUGUUGGCUAUGGCCGUUGAGGAAAUCUUGUUCGCGUCAUAUUGCAUCCAUGCUUUGAACUAGAUCCUGUAUGAUUGCAGAUUGAGUUGUUGAACUCCUAUGAUUGUCAUUUGAUCUGUAAUGGCAUAAGAGUAGAAUGCACUAAGGAUUCACUCUGUUCAAGUUGCUUUAUUAUUAUGGUUGUAUGGCUGUUUCGGAAAUCUUGUGCUUGUCAUAUUAAACAUCCAUUCUUUUGACUGGAUCCAGCAUCCAGUAUUAUUGCUUAUUGAAUUGCCGUAAUCACAAGAGUAUAGUGUCCUUGUAUGUCUGUAGUUGCCAGAAUGCGCUCCAUGGAAUUUCUGGUUACAGACUUUCAAUUGGUUUUUUCUCUAAAUUGUUCAGGAACUUGUACUAACCAUUGUGAUGCUUGU